Molecule: long non-coding RNA, 403 nt
Organism: Helianthus annuus (common sunflower)
Lineage: Eukaryota; Viridiplantae; Streptophyta; Magnoliopsida; Asterales; Asteraceae
Exons: 3
Source: RefSeq, a predicted model, not a curated record
ACCAUUUUAGGUGUCUGGUUCGAUCAAACAGAAGGAGGAGGGCGACCCCCACUCUCAAAACCCUAGCAACUCACUAAUCUCACAAAUUGAAGGCUCAAACCAAGUUAAAAUCGAAAAUCGAGCAUAGAUUAUUGAUCCCCAUUGCAAGGGGGUUGUAAGUUUGACUCUGACAAGCUAGGUAGGAGCUUGGAAAUGAACGGGUCAAAUGGAUACAAGUUCAAGUAUGAAGCUCGCAAGGAUGCAAGGAGUAGAUAUCCAAUGGAUACUCGCAUCGCUCUUAAUUAGCAAUUAUAAAGCAAGGUAUUAAACCGGGUUAGUAAGUUGAUCCGAGCCAGGUAUGUAUAAUAGAUUAACUCAUCAUGUAGAACUUGAAGUUCUAUGAAAGUUAGGCAAAAUAAAAAAA